UCACUCUGGUUUCCCUUCAGAACACGUAUAAAUCUUUCGCCUUUUACUAAAGAUUUCCGUGGAGGGGAACAAUUGAGGAGUCUGUAAAUAAUUUUUUGUCGUGCCCAACGAAAGUUGGGUCA
Small nuclear RNA from Megalopta genalis, 122 nucleotides. RefSeq annotates it as U5 spliceosomal RNA. The record is from RefSeq and is a predicted model, not a curated record. NCBI's taxonomy places the organism in Eukaryota, Metazoa, Arthropoda, Insecta, Hymenoptera, Halictidae.